Pezoporus flaviventris is the source of this 4659-nucleotide long non-coding RNA. RefSeq lists it as uncharacterized. NCBI's taxonomy places the organism in Eukaryota, Metazoa, Chordata, Aves, Psittaciformes, Psittacidae. The transcript has 2 exons. The record is from RefSeq and is a predicted model, not a curated record.
GGUUCCCCAGGGAGGUGGUAGAUGCCUCAUCCCUGGAAGUGUUCAAAACCAGGUUGGGUGAGGCUCUGAUCAACCAGGUCUAUUGGAAGAUGUCCCUGCCUGUGGCACGGGGGUUGGAACUGUACAACCUUUAAUGGUCCCUUCCAAACCAAAACAUUCUAUAGUUCUAUGAUUCUAUGAAUGAUCAUCUGUGCACAUUUUUAUUUUUACUCUGGCGAUGAUUUGGAUAUUGAAGUGAAUCACUCUCAGUGUAGUUAACUGGUAUUGAGGUGAAUCACUCUCAGUGUAGUUAACUGGUAUUGAAGUGAAUCACUCUCAGUGUAGAUAACCAGCCACACUCCUGCAGACUUACUGUGGUAAGUAGCUACUGUAUGCCUAUAUAGUUCAGAGGAUGGUAGUUGUCCUUUAUUAAAUACUGACUUUCCAUUACUCAUUGUCAGAUUUUUAUUUGCUCAGAGAGCAGUAUAAAUUCUGUUAAUUGUCAUGUUGCUAGUGAAUCUACCCUGCCUGCUCAGUAAAUUUUAAGUCUUCUGAAAUAGCAUUUGACAGACUGUGAAUUACCAGAGUUGUGAAUUAACCUUGCUCUGCCCUUCUGCUUCACCUCUGCCUGCACAGUGGCAUGGUGCCUGCCAGUAUAUUGCUUGUUCAUCCUAGUCUCUGCUCUGUAUACAGUGAUAAGGAUCUUGAUGCUUUCUUUUCAUAAGCAUCCAGUCUUUUGCAUCAUCUUGUUGUGUAUUGUCAUUGCACACCAUUGCCUUCAGGAUUUUUUUGGGUUUUGAGAGCUCUUUCAGGAAGCUAAAGCCAAAGUCAGGGCCCAACUUGGACAGAAGACACUGUUUUUUUCUUCCCUCCUCGGGGAAUAUGAUCUGAGCUGAGAUUAAGCUUAUAAAUAAGAUCAGGUAUUGGAGUAGUUUAGGAAUGUGAGUUAUGCACAAAGACAAGAAAAGGUCUCGGGUUCUUUCUGCAGAAACAGAUUAUCUGGUUAAAGGUAUGUGCUCUGAGUAACUCAGUCAACAUCAAAGCAAAGGUGCAUCUGUGGCAGUGCCUAGAUAUGCUCUGUGGAAAUCUGCUAAGCCUUUGAAAUCCAAGUGAACACUUAGAGCUAAACAAUCCACUGUCAAACAAAAUAAUUUCCAAAGCUUAGGAAAGGUCAUGUAUUCUAAGUAAACUUUACAAAGGCCGGAUGCUUGUGGGAAUUUUGUUUGUUCUGUGUUCCUCUUGUUCCCCAGAGACUGUCUCCUGCCAUAAGUACUAGUUCUCCUGUAAAAACAUCAUGCUUUUUGGAAGGUGCUGCUGGUUUUAAAUCUCUGGGAAUUGAGAAGAAGAUGCAAAAGCAGUAUACUACUCUGAUAUGUUUCAGUGAGACAGCAACAGCUUUGAAGCCCAGGUGUCACGAUUCACUAGCAAGUCUAUCAGAAGAGGCUGGCACUUAUGGAGGCCAGUGUGACGUGGUGUAUCACCUCCUUUAAGUGGUGGCUUGCAUGUGUCACACAGCGUGUGGAAAGGAAUGAGCAAAGUGAACCCAGGGCAGAGAGAUGGUGUGGGACAGAGGAAGUGGGUUGAGAGGCAAAGCGUGGGAGAGUGUUUGAGUGGUGGUGACAGGGAAGGUGUGGGCUCUGCCUGCUUCUGGGGUACAUUUACAUCUAUUGCUAAUCAUAGCCUCACCUCAGAUCUUCUGUAGGAAAUCUGAUAGCAACACGCUGAUGCCUGGCCCCUGAAGUCUAAGAAUGCCUAACUUUGACUGCAGAGCAGCAAUAAAAGCCUGUGUUUGGCUCAGUACUGUGCAAAUACCCUGUAGCUUUUGCUUCUCAUUUCAUGUAUCUAACCCAAGCACAACUAAUGGCUUGAAAUAAGGAGUACCCUGAAGAGGAAAAAGGAGGGAGUGAGUUGGGGGAGAGAUUGAGAGCAUGGGUAAGUGUGGUACAAUUCAGAGCCCUAAAAUAAGUUACUUAUCUUGUGUUACUGUCUCUCAGAGAUGGGUCAGUGGUGUGUUGGGAAGACACAGAUAGCUGGAGUCAGGUUUUCUGGACUAAAGCUCAAAACAGCUUUACAAAUCACCAGAAACUUGUUCCCUCUCUGAUAAACAUUGCAAAGACCGUAGCUGCAGGCUUGAAUGCUGAUGGGUUGUAAAGUGAUAGCCAAGCUGGUGCAGAACAACAGCACUGGGGUGCAGGUGGGUAGGAAGAGCCUGUCCCAAGUACCCACAGAGGCAGGAGUCCCCUGCUAAAGUGGGCAACAGAAUGAACUUCAGUGCGAGUCCCCCUCUUGUUAGUUCUGAGUGAUUUGGAACAAAUUUAGGGCUAUAAAUAAAUAAAACCUUAUAAACAGUUUCAGAAAUCAGAUGGAUUUGUUUCUUAUUAAGCAGACAUCUCUUGAAAUGCUGCAGCAACAUAAUCAAAUUUCAGUCGCCAUUUACUAGAAACAAUAAUUACUGUCAGGAAUUAAAAGCUGAUUCUACUCUUGCUGAAAUUAAGACCACUGUUACAAGGAGUUACCAGACCAUGUCUUACGUAGUUACUUCUCUGGGAACUGUUGCAGAGAUUGUCUGAAUGCACUAGUAUAUUUGAAUAAAGAACAAAUAUGAAAUCAGUCUUUAGGUUAGCUAUUUGUUCUAGCUAUUGGAGUCCAUAGCUAGUUGAUCCUCCUGCAAGAUCGAAGUUGUAAUGUUCACAAUGUGGUAAUCUCAGCUCAUCAACCACAGGGCAAGGUGACAAUUCCAUUUACUCUGGGGUAGAUAGGUCAAAUCAGAAUUCCUCCGGAAGGGCAAGUUCAGCGACAAUGUUGAGAGUAGCUGACCCAACUGAGCUUUUGAUUUUUCACUAUGAAGUCUUCUAGCGCUUGCAGAGAACAACAAAACAUGAUGGUCUGUGGUGAAAUGAUUCUUUGGUUCUAAUAGUACCAGUGUUGGAGUCAAGCAGUUGUGUCCUUGGGUGCUUACACUCUUGAGUAUUUUGGAUCUGAGCUGUGACACCAGAAGAACCAGAUGUCAGGAACCUGUGCCGCAACACAUUGUCUCUUCCCAGGAAAUUUCUCUGCUAGGAAAGUCCCUGGGCUAGAGAGUUUGCAAAUGUAAAUGCUUUGUAAACAGACUUUGCAGAGGAAACCUUGUACCACCAAUGAGUUCCUUCGGUGCCGUUCCUGGUUUCUGAGGUAAGCAUUAAGGACUGUUACCUUACCCACACCACCCACAAAGGAUUUCUGACACUGAUGACCUAACCAAAAAUCCAAAACCUGGAGAAAAAACAUCACACCACCUAAAUAAAAGAUGUGUUGUCUUUUUUGCUUUCUUUUGUUUCCACAUACCUCAGUUUGAUUAACAGCCUUACACUGCAGUGUUGGUGGUAAAUAGACAACUACACUGUCAUGCCUAGAAAUGCUGUGUAAUUUAUUCAAAGCACAAGAUCCACCAGGGAGAUCUCUGGACUUGAAAGUGCAGUCCUCAAUUCUAUAAAUGUGUUCAUCUACAGCCUGCUUUAUCUUGUAGCAAUAGCUUUGCCUAGCAAUAACGUGGUAUAGAAAGAAUUGUAUUUGCAUGGGGAAGGGAGAGGAAACUUCCACUGAAUGGCUUUUGCAGCAUUACUUCAUUAUUUAAAGCCUAGUAUUUAAGAAGCCACUGUCUGGGACCUGAGGAAUGCUGAUGUGCUUUGCAAAUAAUCCAAGCUGCUUAAGGAACUGUGCACAGAAAUUAACCAAGACCGUGUACCUGCUCUCUGCAAACCCGUCAGUGUUGCUGGCAAAACCUUUUCUAUAUUCAUCAGUGCAGUCCUGGCCACCACAGUGGUGGUAGGUGUUCAUACCUUGGUAGUUGUUGCACUACUCCUCUUUAACCCACAUGAUCAUUCCAGUGACAUGUUUAGCAUACUGCCUUUUGCUCAACCUUCUCUUAAAAAAUGAGGAAUAAGUUGCUUUUUCACAGCUCUGGGGCAAAAGGAGGCAAAGAGUUCACAAUUUAUUCCAAUGUGGAUACCAGCUGUGACACUAACAGUCACAGCACAGGUAGAUGUCAGCAACCAAAUGUCUCAGAAAGGUGCCCUAGCCAGGGGUCUCUAUGUCUUCAUCCUCCACAUUUACCCGCUUUGUCCCUGACUAAGAAUCGGGCACCAAUUUGUGCCAUGUAAUGACAAAUUCUCCAGCAUAAGCUUGGAGCCCCAUAUUUUGCAGAUGUACAGAGCUCUGUGUUUUUAUUUGGCUAGAGGAGGUCUGGUACCUUACAGGCAGCCCUGCACUGGGGUGACAGUGCAGUGAGGAGUGUUUGCUUGACCUUUGGGUGGAAACAUUGCUGAAAGUGAGGAAGCAGUCUCAGGAUUCCGCUCCCACCUUCCUCCUUGAUGCAAUAUGCCAUGCUGGUGGUGGUAGGACAGGGCUGUCCAGGUCAGGCAGAGCAGGCAGGGGAAGACGGCAGGUGAUGUCAGAGAAAGAGCUGGCCUAGCAUGCUGGAGGUGCCACUCGGCAAAACCUCUUCAUGGACAAAGCAGCUACAGUGAGUAACACAUCAGGGAUUGUGGUGUAGCACUGCAGCCCCUGUCCUUGGCAGAGGGAACUGGCAUGAACUAAACACACCAUUACUGGAGCUUACGUAAUAUUUACAGUAGUAGUACAAUUAGGAUUCACAUUACUGUAAUAUCCUAUUUUAAUAAAUCUUGUGUUAAGUUUCUUUGA